CCUACGGGGGGCAGCAGUGAGGAAUAUUGGUCAAUGGUCGGGAGACUGAACCAGCCAAGCCGCGUGAGGGAGGAAGGUACAGAGUAUCGUAAACCUCUUUUGUCAGGGAACAAAGGCGGGGACGUGUCCCCGGAUGAGUGUACCUGAAGAAAAAGCAUCGGCUAACUCCGUGCCAGCAGCCGCGGUAAUACGGGGGAUGCGAGCGUUAUCCGGAUUUAUGGGGUUUAAGGGGUGCGCAGGCGGUCUGUUAAGUCAGCGGUCAAAGCCCGGGGCUCAACCCCGGCCCGCCGUUGAAACUGGCAGUCUCGAGUUGGAGAGAAGUAUGCGGAAUGCGCGGUGUAGCGGUGAAAUGCAUAGAUAUCGCGCAGAACUCCGAUUGCGAAGGCAGCAUGCCGGCUCCGCACUGACGCUGAGGCACGAAAGCGUGGGUAUCGAACAGGAUUAGAUACCCGAGUAGUC
RNAcentral lists this ribosomal RNA (459 nucleotides) under uncultured bacterium. Its description in RNAcentral is "partial 16S ribosomal RNA". It matches the Rfam family "Bacterial small subunit ribosomal RNA", at positions 338 to 795 of the family's 1533-position model. The record is from RNAcentral.